GUCCUCAUACUGUGCCUUCACCUCUGCGAUGAUGCUGUUGAGGUCCAGGCUGCGGUUGUUGUCCAUGGACAGCACCACGGAGGUGUCAGACACUUGCUGCUGCAUCUGAGACAAUUCCGCUUCAUAGAGAGCCCUCAGGAAGUUGAUCUCAUCUGCCAGCCCGUCUGCUUUGGCCUGCAGCUCCACUUUGUUCAUGUAAGCACCGUCCACAUCCUUCUUGAGCACCACGAACUCGUUCUCUGCGCCCGUGCGCCGGUUGAUCUCAUCCUCAUACUUGUUCUUGAAGUCCUCCACCAUGUCCUGCAUGCUCCGCAGCUCCGAGUCCAGCCG
Molecule: long non-coding RNA, 330 nt
Filed under: Gallus gallus (chicken)
Lineage: Eukaryota; Metazoa; Chordata; Aves; Galliformes; Phasianidae
Source: RNAcentral